RNAcentral lists this ribosomal RNA (187 nucleotides) under uncultured bacterium. RNAcentral's name for it is "partial 16S ribosomal RNA". It matches the Rfam family "Bacterial small subunit ribosomal RNA", at positions 1316 to 1500 of the family's 1533-position model. The record is from RNAcentral.
CUACAUGAAGUCGGAAUCGCUAGUAAUCGCGGAUCAGCAUGCCGCGGUGAAUACGUUCCCGGGCCUUGUACACACCGCCCGUCACACCAUGAGAGUCUGUAACACCCAAAGCCGGUGGGAUAACCUUUAUAGGAGUCAGCCGUCUAAGGUAGGACAGAUGAUUAGGGUGAAGUCGUAACAAGGUACC